Molecule: long non-coding RNA, 1264 nt
Organism: Capsicum annuum
Lineage: Eukaryota; Viridiplantae; Streptophyta; Magnoliopsida; Solanales; Solanaceae
Exons: 2
Source: RefSeq, a predicted model, not a curated record
UUUAUAUCAUGUUGAAGAAGAGCCUGGACCUUAUAUGGAGCAUUAGUAUAAAAACAAAACCUUUAUGAAGGCUUAGUCACUUUAUACAACCAAUAUCCAAUAUGAAGAUGUGUUCUGAGAAAAACAAUCCAAAGUUUGAGCCAUAUGAACCUAAGAAUAUACCUGACAGACCUGUAAGAAAUAGAAGAAGAGGCAAAUAUAAUCAAAGAAGAAAUAUAAAAAGCUGUCCAAACAAGAGGUGAAGAUAACAUAUUUCAAGUGUCAUCAACAAGGCCAUAACAGAAGAUAUUGUAAUGUAAAAUAGUAACUUUUAACUUGAUUUUAGAAGUUGAUUUCAUAUUAAUUUUUUAAUUUAUUUACUAUUUUGUAUGUGUUUAUAGAUUCCUAAUCCAAAUGCAAAAGUACAUAGCUAAGGAUUUCAGCCUAGUGAUCAUAAUUUACAAGGAAAUUGCUAGCCUAAAAGCUUCAUCCAACUUGCACCUUUAACCUCAAAAAAAUCAGAAAAUGUAGCUCAAGUCAACUUGCACUAACAAGCUCAAUCAAGCUGCAUCUUCAAUAAUAAUUUAUGGUGAUACAAGCAGAGUUAGGAGCUUAAAGGCACUUGCAAGAUAUAACUUUUGUGGUGAUUCAAGGAUACAUGUUACAGAAGGAAUCAAUAGUCAACUACCUCCUAAAAUAGAGAAACUGUUGGGCAAAAGAGGGGAAGAGUUGAAACAACAAUAAAUGUUGAUUGUGGUGGAUCUAAAAGGUCAAAUAAUGCUGGAUUUGAAAUGUACACAAGUCUAAGGGGAACCCAACUACUGAAUCAUGGAACAUCAAGUCAAAGGAUCCUAUAAAGUAGUACAAAUUACAAGGAUGCAAGUUCUACAGGUGUUGAUCUUGAUUUUAAGCCAACGAACUUAAAAUGAAAAAAUAAAGAUGUUGUCACCACCAAUCAAUUGCAGAAAAUGGCAAACACACAUAAAAAAGAAAUAGUCAAGAAGAAGUAGUAUAUUUUGAUGGUGUAUUGUGAUUUUCUUGUGUAACAUAUGGUACCAAACAAUCAAUUUAUGUUGUGCUUUAAAUCUGCUACUAAUACAUAGCACAAUUUAGUUCUUUAGUUUAAAUCUGCUAGUGUAUAGCAGUAUACAAUUUGAUUGGUUAAGACAAUAUGAAGCAUGUUUUGUAUGUACAUUAGUGUUACAGCAUACUUAUAAAGUUAUUGUUGGUGUUACUUUGAGCUCAGUAUAGAGCAUAUUUAUGAAGUUGUUGUUGGUGUUGCUUU